GACGAAGGGGGCUAGCGUUGUUCGGAAUUACUGGGCGUAAAGCGCGUGUAGGCGGCCCUGCAAGUCGGAUGUGAAAUCCCACGGCUCAACCGUGGAAGUGCAUUCGAAACUGCAGGGCUAGAGUCCUGGAGAGGAAGGUGGAAUGCUUGGUGUAGAGGUGAAAUUCGUAGAUAUCAAGCGGAACACCGGUGGCGAAGGCGGCCUUCUGGACAGUGACUGACGCUGAGACGCGAAAGCGUGGGGAGCAAACAGG
Molecule: ribosomal RNA, 253 nt
Filed under: uncultured bacterium
Lineage: Bacteria
Description: partial 16S ribosomal RNA
Rfam family: Bacterial small subunit ribosomal RNA
Source: RNAcentral